Molecule: ribosomal RNA, 405 nt
Filed under: soil fungal sp. DM003
Lineage: Eukaryota; Fungi
Description: eukaryotic LSU rRNA
Rfam family: Eukaryotic large subunit ribosomal RNA
Source: RNAcentral
GGCCCCUAGGNUCNGAGNNGUAAUUUGUAGAGGAUGCUUUUGGUGAGGUGCCGCCCGAGUUCCCUGGAACGGGACGCCACAGAGGGUGAGAGCCCCGUCUGGCUGGCCACCGAGCCUCUGUAAAGCUCCUUCGACGAGUCGAGUAGUUUGGGAAUGCUGCUCAAAAUGGGAGGUAUAUGUCUUCUAAAGCUAAAUAUUGGCCAGAGACCGAUAGCGCACAAGUAGAGUGAUCGAAAGAUGAAAAGCACCUUGAAAAGAGGGUUAAACAGUACGUGAAAUUGUUGAAAGGGAAGCGCUUGUGACCAGACUUGGGCGCGGCGAAUCAUCCGGGGUUCUCUCCGGUGCACUUCGCCGUGUUCAGGCCAGCAUCAGUUCGGCGCGGGGGAAAAAGGCUUCGGGAACGUG